UACGUAGGUGGCAAGCGUUGUCCGGAAUUAUUGGGCGUAAAGCGCGCGCAGGUGGUUCCAAAAGUCUGAUGUGAAAGCCCCCGGCUCAACCGGGGAGGGUCAUUGGAAACUGGGGAACUUGAGUGCAGGAGAGGAAAGUGGAAUUCCACGUGUAGCGGUGAAAUGCGUAGAUAUGUGGAGGAACACCAGUGGCGAAGGCGACUUUCUGGCCUGUAACUGACACUGAGGCGCGAAAGCGUGGGGAGCAAACAGGAUUAGAACCCUGGUAGUCC
RNAcentral lists this ribosomal RNA (272 nucleotides) under uncultured prokaryote. RNAcentral describes it as "partial 16S ribosomal RNA". It matches the Rfam family "Bacterial small subunit ribosomal RNA", at positions 524 to 796 of the family's 1533-position model. The record is from RNAcentral.